RNAcentral lists this ribosomal RNA (253 nucleotides) under uncultured bacterium. RNAcentral describes it as "partial 16S ribosomal RNA". It matches the Rfam family "Bacterial small subunit ribosomal RNA", at positions 524 to 776 of the family's 1533-position model. The record is from RNAcentral.
UACGAAGGGGGCUAGCGUUGCUUGGAAUCACUGGGCGUAAAGCGCACGUAGGCGGAUUGUUAAGUCAGGGGUGAAAUCCUGGAGCUCAACUCCAGAACUGCCUUUGAUACUGGCGAUCUCGAGUCCGGGAGAGGUGAGUGGAACUGCGAGUGUAGAGGUGAAAUUCGUAGAUAUUCGCAAGAACACCAGUGGCGAAGGCGGCUCACUGGCCCGGUACUGACGCUGAGGUGCGAAAGCGUGGGGAGCAAACAGG